UACGGGGGGGGGCAAGCGUUGUUCGGAAUUACUGGGCGUAAAGGGCUCGUAGGUGGCCAACUAAGUCAGACGUGAAAUCCCCAGGCUCAACUUGGGAACUGCGUCUGAUACUGGAUGGCUUGAAUUCGGGAGAGGGAUGCAGAAUUCCAGGUGUAGCGGUGAAAUGCGUAGAUAUCUGGAGGAAUACCGGUGGCGAAGGCAGCCCCCUGGGUCAAAACUGACGCUCAUGCACGAAAGCGUGGGGAGCAAACAGG
Molecule: ribosomal RNA, 254 nt
Filed under: uncultured bacterium
Lineage: Bacteria
Description: partial 16S ribosomal RNA
Rfam family: Bacterial small subunit ribosomal RNA
Source: RNAcentral